UACAGAGGGUGCAAGCGUUAAUCGGAAUUACUGGGCGUAAAGCGUGCGUAGUCGGUUAUUUAAGUCGGGUGUGAAAGCCCCGGGCUCAACCUGGGAAUUGCAUUCGAUACUGGAUAGCUAGAGUUCGGCAGAGGGAAGCGGAAUUUCCGGUGUAGCGGUGAAAUUCGUAGAUAUUCGCAAGAACACCAGUGGCGAAGGCGGCUCACUGGCCCGAUACUGACGCUGAGGCACGAAAGCGUGGGGAGCAAACAGG
RNAcentral lists this ribosomal RNA (253 nucleotides) under uncultured bacterium. RNAcentral's name for it is "partial 16S ribosomal RNA". It matches the Rfam family "Bacterial small subunit ribosomal RNA", at positions 524 to 776 of the family's 1533-position model. The record is from RNAcentral.